Long non-coding RNA from Haemorhous mexicanus (house finch), 4155 nucleotides. RefSeq lists it as uncharacterized. NCBI's taxonomy places the organism in Eukaryota, Metazoa, Chordata, Aves, Passeriformes, Fringillidae. The transcript is spliced from 2 exons. The record is from RefSeq and is a predicted model, not a curated record.
GCCAAUGAGCGCCGCCGGCCGCUCGGGGGUGUCUCCAGAAAGGCCCGAAAGGCGCUGACGUUGCGGCGCGUGAGGAUGCGCGCGGCGGGCGUGGGGAGGGCGCUGGCGAAGCGGCCGCGGAUUGGCCGAGCCGGGCGGGACGGCGCGUGCGCGCUCAGGGCCCGGGCUCGCGCCCCCCCCCUCCCGCCCCGCCCUUCCGCGUCCGGGCAGCGCUGGGACCCCGUGAGGGCGGGACGGACACGGCCGGCACCGGCCGUGAGGGCCACUCCACGGGAGGAGUGCGGCCAGCAGGGCAAGAGAGGUGAUCCUGCCCCUGUGCUCAGCCCUAGUGAGGCCUCAUGUAGAGUCCCGUGUCCAGUUCUGGGUUCAUCAGGACGAGCCAAUGGAGAGGGUGCAGUGGAGUGCCGCAAAGAUGAUGGGGGGACUGGAGCAUCUCUUUAUGAGGGCAGGAGAGACUGCAGGACCUGGGCCCGUUCAAUCUAAAGACACAGUGCGGGGGGUGUCUAAUAAAUUUACAUAAAUGUCUCCAAGGCAGGUACCAAGAGUUCUGGGCUCUCUUUCAUAUAGCCCAGCAACAGGACAAGAAGCAAUGGCCGUAAGCUAAAUCACGAGAAAUUUCACCUUAGCGUGAAGAAGAACUUCUUUGUAUUGAGGAUGGUGGAGCACUGAAAGAGGCUGCCUGGGGAGGGUGUGGGGUCUCCCUCUCUGGAGACAUUCAAACCCCUCCUGCAUGCGUUCCUAUGUCACCUCCUCUAGGUCACCCUGCCUUGGCAGCAGGGGCCCUUCCAACCCUAACAAUUCUGUGAUUGAGACCAGCAUAGCUCCUCUGGAAGCCCUUGGCUGCUUCCCGCUUUUGGUGCAGGCUCUUUCUGUCAGGACCGUUCCCAGGAGGCUGCAAGAGCUGUUGGAGCAGCCCCAGUCCUCAGCUGGUCCCUCAGGCUCAGGGCCAGCCCAGCUCCCCCCAGCCCUUGAGGAAAGGUGACAUUCAUUCCCAGCAUGGACUGCAGGGACAGAGGCACUGCCUCCCACAUCCAGCAAGGGCUGUGAACUUAACACUGUCAUUGCACAGGAUGCAAGGAAGUCAUUCAGCUUUCAUCUUGGGUCUGUGUGGUUAAGUGAGUAAGUCUUGAAACACCACUCUGUCUAGGCUGUCUGGAUGUGUUGGCCUGAGUUUCCUAGCUGCUUUUCUGACUGGCAUUGAGGCCUAGGGAAUAUAUGCGGGAAAACAAGCUUUGUGGCUGGUGUCUGCAGAUUGUUACCUCUCCCUUCAGAAUGGCUUGCAGGCAUGGACUUGCAGAAGUGAUGCUUGUAAUGCAAGGAAUAUAUCCAGAAUGCCACAUUGCUGUGCUGGGAGUAUGAGCUCGGCUCAUGGCUCCCUGCUGCACUGCGCGUCAUUGACCUGUGUGACCUGCCUUUGGCAAGACACAGCGCUCCAAGUGCCUCUGCUCUGGUACACAUUUACCCCCAGGACUCCAAGGACUUUGUCUCUCUCUCUCCUCAUACAGUGGUGCUUGCCUGCCUCUUCUCCAUUCUGGAGCUAUGGCAAGUCCUGCCAUGAUGCUGCUCCCUGUGCAUCUUGGUGCAUUUUAUAAAAGUUAUUUUCCACCACUGCAUGUGGGGAAAGUGGUGCAGCUGCCGCUGUUCACUUGGAGAAACUAAAGGAAGGAAAGUUGGAGUGAGUUGUGGGUGAUGCAAGAGUUAGGAGCAGACUUCCAUUUCCAGUCUCCCAGUGUUUCAUCUCCCUUUGUACCCAAUUAUCUCCAUUCUGUGACAUGAAGGUGACAGCACUGCGAACUGCAUUGACAUUUGCGGAGCACAAGCAGAAGAACAUUCGGUAACUCCUGGGCAGAUGCUUGCUCAAGGAAAUUGGAGAAGGUGCCCUUAGGUGCAGAGCAGCUUGCAGAAGUGUUCUGGUGGAGUCCUUCUCACAUCACGGGCUCACUUCUCUUUAGGAGCUUAGCCUUCCUCUUAGCUCUGAGUUUGGUGUAGUUUUAGACCUCUACAACCAGGAGGGAGAAGUUUUAUCAUGCUCAUUUCUCCACCACUGAUUACCAUUUGAAUGCGGGCAUUGGUGCCAGCAGUGCGUGGUGGUUUGUUAAACUGUUAAAUUUUAGACAAUGCCAGAGUGAAAGUGACCUUAAAAAUAAUCUUUUAACCACAGAAUCAGUAUAAUAGCUUUUAUACUACAAUAGAAACAGUAGAAUGAUAGACUAGAAUACACAUUUCUAGCUGGUGUGCUCUGUUGCUGCUCAGUGUGAAAUCUUAAAUGAGGCAGGGGCUCACAUAGAGCUGGCACCCUCUCCUUCUCCCAAGGAUACAGCAGUGUGGGGUUCAGGCUGUGGUGCAGAAGCUGUGCCUGGCUGGGAGGAGUAUAAAGGACACAUCUGGUUUAAGAGCACAGCUCAGCUGACCUAGUGACUAGCUGUCACCAAGGGGGUGGCUGUGUUUUACAGUCUGGACUAGUUCCUCUCCCCCUCCCAUACCUGUGCUGUCAUUGGUACUGGUCUGUCCCUGCAGUGGCCAGAUUCAGAAAACCAAGUGUCAGGAAAGUUUUCCAGCAUUUUGCAGGUCUAAUUUGCUGCUGAUUUUGAAUCUUGACCUGUCUCCUGAGACAUCAGACAGGUGUUGGUGCUAACACGAGAUGAUACAAUGAUAAUGCAUAGCACAUGAGGAGGAGCAGAGGUGUCUUUUUGUGUAGCAGCUGGCUGUUAGAUUGUAUUAUCUGUGCUCUCUAACUGCAUCCUGCAUCCUUGUUCAUAACAGCAAAUGCCACAAAUUCCUUCACAGGAAUAUAGGUGUGAGCGAUACUGCUGCAGUGGGAGAUAAUAAAAAUCUGUUUUCUGGUGCUGAUUUUCUAUGGAAAACCAGUUGGAAACGUGUUCAUGUGUAUUUAAUAAAGCAACUGCUAGACUAAAGGAUAAAUAUAAAGCUAAAUCAGUUUAUGAACCUUAGUGCUUACAAAUAGUUGUGAAAGCCUUUAUUCUUUCAUAUUCUCAAUAUCCCAUCUCACACAGUGAAGACUGUCAGUGCUUAUACAGCAUUCAGGCAGCCUGGAGGGGCUGCAUAGCCAGUUAGGGACUCACAGGAGUCUCUGUAAAAGUGCAGAGAGAUUUCCUCACAAGAGCUUUAGCACUUAAUAUGAAAACACUUUGAUUUAGAGGGACCAGAUGUGCUACAUUUGACUUCUGAUGGGCUAUUCAGAAAAAUAAUCUUUUCUGUGGUUUUUGGUCUUUUUUAGGAAUAGAGAGAAAAGCUGCUGAAAAUUCAUUAUUUAUGCUUAGAUGCUUCCUCCUUUUCCAGACACCUCUCAGUGAUGAAAUACCUUGAUGAUUUUGAAAGAAAAUGUUUCCAUUCCAAUGAAUAAGCAUCUUAGUUUUAAUCUAAUUUAAUUUUUAUGGAGUAUAAUGGAUCAUGGCAUUUUAUGUCACCAUACUGCACAUGCAAUACAACGAGGUUGUCAAUGUUUAAUAUAUAAAAGAAAGUCAAAAGUGAAAGAUGGAGAAAUCUUUUUCCUCAUGAUGCCAUCAAAAUACAGGAAAUGGCCUAAGGUCAGGCAUCAGGAUGAUGCUGUGUGGAUUCCUUUUCAAAAGAAGUGUGGCCAACCUUCCUUGGAGGGAUGUGAAUUUUAAGAAAGAGCAACCAUAUAAAAACAAGUAUUAAAAUAUAUCAAUAUAUUAAAAAGUAUAAAAUUUUCACAAACUGAUAUCCUGGCUUGGACUUUCAGUAUACAGUAAAAGGAGGUAACCUGGAUGCAGGCAGAACUGCUGUUGCUCUCCUGCACCUUCACCUUCUCCAGAAGUUUUGUCUAGACUUAAAAAUGUGUUUGUAAGGUGCUGUAGGGAUGCUUAGAUUAAUGAUUCUGCUGGUUUACGUGUUGCAAAAUUAAUCAUGUUGAGUUAACAGUGCACUUAAAUGUCUUCGGCAUUAUUUGAAUUAGAUUUCACACUACUGAGCUGAUGGUCUUGUGACACAACAGAACAUUCAUCAUUCCCGUGUGGGUGCUGUGUGCACAGUGGAGGGAUAGCUCAGUCUUGAUAUAUUUGUACUGUGAAAAGAAAGAGUUGACUUGGUGGGAAAUGGAGAGCUGAUAUUCUUAAUACAACCUCCUCCAGCUAUCGUGAAAAAUACUGGAAAGAAAUAAAAAAUCAAACAAAA